RNAcentral lists this ribosomal RNA (253 nucleotides) under uncultured bacterium. RNAcentral's name for it is "partial 16S ribosomal RNA". It matches the Rfam family "Bacterial small subunit ribosomal RNA", at positions 524 to 776 of the family's 1533-position model. The record is from RNAcentral.
UACGUAGGGUGCGAGCGUUGUCCGGAAUCAUUGGGCGUAAAGCGCGUGUAGGCGGUUCGGUAAGUCCGCUGUGAAAGUCGGGGGCUCAACCCUCGGAUGCCGGUGGAUACUGUCGGACUAGAGUACGGAAGAGGCGAGUGGAAUUCCUGGUGUAGCGGUGAAAUGCGCAGAUAUCAGGAGGAACACCGAUUGCGAAGGCAGCUCGCUGGGACGUUACUGACGCUGAGACGCGAAAGCGUGGGGAGCAAACAGG